This 78-nucleotide transfer RNA is filed under the name Flavobacteriales bacterium. Its description in RNAcentral is "tRNA-Met". It matches the Rfam family "tRNA". Rfam says of the family: Transfer RNA (tRNA) molecules are approximately 80 nucleotides in length. Their secondary structure includes four short double-helical elements and three loops (D, anti-codon, and T loops). The record is from RNAcentral. Lineage: Bacteria; Pseudomonadati; Bacteroidota; Flavobacteriia; Flavobacteriales.
CGGCCGAUAGCUCAAUCAGGUCAGAGCGUCUGUCUCAUAAACAGAGGGUUCUGGGUUCAAAUCCCAGUCGGCCGACCA